CGGAGGGUGCAAGCGUUAUCCGGAUUCACUGGGUUUAAAGGGUGCGUAGGCGGGCAAUUAAGUCCGUGGUGAAAUACCUGGGCUUAACUUGGGAACUGCCAUGGAUACUAUUUGUCUUGAAUGUCGUGGAGGUUAGCGGAAUAUGUCAUGUAGCGGUGAAAUGCUUAGAUAUGACAUAGAACACCUAUUGCGAAGGCAGCUAACUACGCGAAUAUUGACGCUGAGGCACGAAAGCGUGGGGAUCAAACAGGAUU
This 254-nucleotide ribosomal RNA is filed under the name uncultured bacterium. RNAcentral describes it as "partial 16S ribosomal RNA". It matches the Rfam family "Bacterial small subunit ribosomal RNA", at positions 526 to 779 of the family's 1533-position model. The record is from RNAcentral.